This is a non-coding RNA of Callithrix jacchus (white-tufted-ear marmoset), 21286 nucleotides long. Lineage: Eukaryota; Metazoa; Chordata; Mammalia; Primates; Cebidae. The record is from RefSeq and is a predicted model, not a curated record.
GUAAGCGGGGCGUGAAGGCGGGCGGCCGAGGGGGCGUGUGAAGGCCUGCAGCUCCAAAGGCGCGGGCUCCCGGGUGCACCGGGCGCGAGGCCGGGAGUGGAAACUGAGGCCCGGAGCGAGGCGGCGGUUCCAAGGUCACGCGGCGGGGCGGGCCUUCCCGGGCUCCCGAGGCCACCCUGUCGCUUCCUGCGCCGCCCGAAGGGCUCGGGGGCUCAAGAUGUGAGGGAAACUGUGGGUCCCGCGGCCUCGGAACCCAGGCCGUGCCGGCGUCCGUGGGACUUGCCCGCGGCCGAGAACUAUUUUAUUCUCCCGACGCUGGGGCCACGAAGUCGGGCUCCUGGGGAAAUACUACACCCGCCAGCUUUUGAGAGUUGGAGGAGAGGAGAAUGGGCCCUCCGAGGGCCUGUUUGAGCGCAGGCUCAGGGAUUGGCUGCCUGGCUCACAUCCCGGUUUGCCCAUUUACAGGUUAUGACCUUGGCUCUCCCGGGGCCUCAGUUCCCCCAUCUGAAAAAUGGGGGUGUGGAGUGGGUUCCCUUCCUCCCCCAGGGUUCUUGGGUCUAGUGAGGCCAGUAAAACGCUUGACACAGACCCUGGCACACAGAAAAUCUGAAAACUGUCAUUAUUGUACUGAUGCGUUAUUCAUCUCAUCCAGUGUGCACUGGACUCGGCAAGUCCGAAAUUAGGCUCUAGCCGUGUGCUUAAGACUUUAUUUUGUUGUGGUCAGUAAUUGUUACUCUCACUUCCAUUUCGCCAUUCCGACAUUCAUCUAGUGUUCCUCCUCGAUGUGUGAGAUCCUUGGGGGAGGGGUGGCUUCCCUUAAGACAACAAAAUUUUAAUUGUUUUCCAUUACUGUAGUUAUAAUAGCCAACUUUUUUUUUGAGAACCAUUUUGCAUUCAGUUCACUUAAUAUUUAUUAAAUCAUCUAGUACAGUAAGUUUUAAAAUAACCAUUCCAGGCCCUGGGAAUACAACAAUAAACAAGAUAGAUUGAAUGAGGGUUUUGAGGUUAGUUAGGAGAGGGGAGAGACACAGUAAAUUCGGAAACAUACACGUUUUGCAUUUUUUUUCUUUUUUCUGUUUUUUUUUUUUUUUUUUUUUUUUUUUUGAGACGGAGUUUCACUCUUGUUACUCAGGCUGGAGUGCAAUGGCACGAUCUUGGAUCACCUCAACCCCCGCCUCCUGGGUUCAAGCGAUUCUCCUGCCUCAGCUUCCCGAGUAGCUGGGACUACAGGCACUCACCACUGAGUCCAGCUAAUUUUUAUAUUUUUAGUAGAGACGGGGUUUCACCAUGUUGACCAGGAUGGUUUCGAUCUCUUGACCUCGAGAUCCACCCGCCUCGGCCUCCCAAAGUGCUGGGAUUAUAGGCCAGGCCUGCAUGUUUUUUUCUUGUUUAAUCUUGUUGACAUUCUAAGUAAGACAUUAUUUGAGGUAGCCCAUUUUGCAGAGGGUAACAGAAGGUACUGUGAGUGUUCAUCUCAGAGCUGAUGUAAUUAAACACAUGAAAGGGAGGAUUUACGCCACCUUUUUUGUUUGGCACUCAUUAAAUGUUGGGUUGAAGAUACAAAAAGUAGAUAUACCUAGGUUGCAGUUACUGCUUUUGAUGUUUUGAUCCAUUGUUACUGAAAUUUCCAACUAAAGAGGCAGAUAGUGGUUACCCUUUUAGGCUUGGAUAGGUGUGGUAUCUCAGUAAAAUGAAAGGACUUUUUUUUUUUUUUCUUUUUUGGAGACAGAGUCUGGCUCGGUCGCUCAGGCUGGAGUGCAGUGGCAUGAUCUUGGCUCAAUCCAACCUCCACCUCCCAGGUUCAAGCUAUUCUCCUGUUUCAGCCUCCUGAGUAGCUGGUACUACAGGCGCCGGCCACCAUGCCCGACUAAGUUUUUAUUUAUUUAUUUGUUUAUUUAUUUAGAAGAGAUAGGUUUUUCACCAUGUUGGUCAGUCUGGUCUUGAACUCCUGACCUCAAGUGAUUCACCUGCCUCAGCCUCCCAAAGUGCUGGGAUUACAGGUGUGAGCCUCUGCACCUGCCGUUGAUUGACUUUUUUUUUUUUUUUUUUAAAGACGGGUUUCACCGUGUUGGUCAGGCUGGUCUUGAACUCCUGACCUCAGGUGAUCCACCCGCCUCAGCCUCCCAAAGUGCUGGGAUUACAGGAGCGAGCCACUGCGCCCAGCCUGACUUUUUUUUUUUUGAUGGAGUUUCAUUCUUAUUGCCCAGGCUGGAGUGCAGUGGCUCCAUCUUGGCUCACUGCAACCUCCACCUCCCCGGUUCAAGUGAUUGUCCCGCCUCAGCCUCCCCAGUAGCUGGGAUUACAGGCACACGCCAUCAUGCCUGUCCCAAAGUGUCGGGAUUACAGGCGUGAGCCAUUACACCCAGCUCACGUUUGUUUGUUUGUUUGUUUGUUUGUUUUUAAUAGAGACGGGUCUCUCACUGUUGCCCAGGGUGGUCUCCUGGGCUCAAGUGGUUGGCUGCCUUGGCCUCCCCCCAGGCAGUGUUCUUAAUGGCCACACCAUCAAGACAAUUAAACAGCAGUUAGUAGCCUAGUUUAAUUUAAAAAGGCAGAGAUAUACACGAGGCAGGUUGUUUGGCAUAAUAGAAAAAGCAGAACUUGGAGACAGACUUUAUUUUGAGGCCCAGUUCUCCUAGGCAGUUAUUUAACUGCUGCUAAAACACAGUUCCUUUAAUUUGUAAAUCGAUAUAAUUUUUCUUUUCUUUUGAGACAAGGUCUCAAGCUUGCCCAAGGUGGAGUGCUGUGGCUUGAUCUUGGCUCACUGCAACCUCCACCUUCCUGGGGUCAAGCGAUUCUCCCACCUCAACCUCCCAAGUAGCUGGGAUUACAGUCACACAACACCUUGCCCGGCUAAUUUUUGUAUUCUUAGUAGAGAUGGGGUUUCACCAUGUUGGCCAGGCUGGUCUUGAACUCUUGGCCUCAAGUGAUCCACCUUCUUUGGCCUACCAAAGUGUUGGGAUUACAGGGGUGAGCCACCAUGCCUGGCCAAUGGGUAUAAUUUCUACCUAAUAGAAGUAGUUACUGAUAAUUGGAUUUUUAUUUAUGUGUAAAACAAGAUAGGCUGGGUGCAGUGGUUCAUGCCAGUAAUCCCAUCACUUUGGGAGGCCGAGGCAGGUGGAUCACUUGAGGUUAGGAAUUCCAGAACAGCCUGGCAAAGAAGGUGAAAUCCCGUCUCUACUAAAAAUACAGAAAAAUUAGCUAGCCAUGGUGGUGCAUGCUUGUAGUCCCAGCUACUCAGGACACUGAGACAGGAGAGUUGCUUUAACCCAGGAGGUGGAGGUUGCAGUGAGCCAAGAUCAUGCCACUGCACUCCAGCCUAGGCAGACAGAGUGAGACUGUGCCUCAAAAAGAAAAAAAAAAAACGGAGCACAGUUGCUCACAUCUGUAAUCCCAGCAUUUUGGGAGGGUUAGGUGGGUGGAUCAGAUCACCUGAGGUCAGGAGUUCAAGACCAGCCUGACCAAGGUGGAGAAACCCUGUCUCUACUAAAAACGAAAUUAGGCAGGUGUGGUGGCGCAUGCUUGUAAUUUCAGCUACUCGGCAGGCAGGAGACUUGCUUGAACCUGGGAGGUGGAGGUUGGAAGUUGUGGCGAGCCGAGAUCGUGCAAUUGCACUCCAGCCUGGGUGACAGAGCAAGACUCUGUCUCAGAAAAUAUAAAAAAUAAAUAAAUAAAAGUCCAAAGAAUUGGGAUGUGAUUUAAAGACAGAUAAAUGAGGUCUUUUUCAGGGGUAUCCUAAGUUGGCCUUAGAGAUGAAUUAAAAAAUAAAAAGGCAAUAGAAACUUAGCGGUCUUUAACAGUUCAUCCCAUAUGUUUGCUGAUCUUAGCAGAGAAGCAGAUGAUGGCAAUGAACAUCAAAAGCCCAAGAAGUGUCCAUGCUAAUUUUGCAUGGCUCUGUGAGGAGCUGUCAAAUAUGGAUCAUCAAAUAUAGUAUAUGCAAUGAACCUUUACUUUGCAAUGUAGCUCUUUAAAGUUUGAGUCUACCCUUCUAUUUUGUGUUGUAGUUAAAUGCAGAAAUUGAAGUACAAAUUCAGAAUAAUCCAGAGCUUGUUAUCCUUUUCUGUGACUUUAUAGCUUUGGAGUUGGCUAGACCUUUCAAUCAAAUUAGCCGAUGGUGACAAAUUUGUAAUUUGACCUCUCUAGCAGCUCCAGUGAAAUGCUAAUAUCGGGCAUAGCACAGCUCCCUUGACACACUACUUUGACCUUUUCCUUCUCUUACAAAUGUUUCCCUUAUUUCUUUGUUAAUUUAGCCAUCUCCAUGCAACAGAGUUCCUGCCUGCUUUUAAUUUUUCAAAGCCACAUGAGAACAGACAUUUAAGCAACACAGAUUUAUUCAUUUUGGCCUUAUAUCCCUAGAGCUAUACUAACUUUAUGGCUGGGACUAAAGGUAGAAGUAGUUGAGAUAGGGAAAUUCAGAAUGGUAAGAGAGAAGUGUGGGAGGUGAUGGUUUUAGUUCCUACUGCAUUCCCCAGCCAACUGCUUAAAUUAAGCUCCCCCUUAAUUUUCCCUUUUAAGUUGGGCUGGCUAAGUAGUUGAAGCUAUAUUCUUUUUUUUUUUUUGAGAUGGAGUUUCGCUGUUGUUACCCAGACUGGAGUGCAAUGGCAUGAUCUCGGCUCACCGCAACCUCUGCCUUUUGGGUUCAAGCAAUUCUCCUGCCUCAGCCUCCCGAGUACUGGGACUACAGGCAUGCACCACCAUGCCCAGCUAUUUUUUGUAUUUUUAGUAGAGACGGGGUUUCACCUUGUUGACCAGGAUGGUCUCGAUCUCUUGACCUCGUGAUCCACCUGCCUCGGCCUCCCAAAGUGCUGGGAUUAUAGGUGUGAGCCACCGCACCCGGCCGAAACUAUAUUCUUAGCCCUUCUUAAAUAUAUGACAUCUAUAAAUAAGAUACUAUAAGGUGCUUUAGAAAAACACAAACAUGUUCAAGGAUCCUCCUGCCUCAGUCUCCCAAGGUAUGUGUCACCAUGCUCUACUAAUUAUAAAAUUUUAUUUAGUUUUUUAUUUUAUAGAGAUGGGGUCUCGCUUUAUUGCCCAGGCUGAUCUCAAACUCCUGGGCUCAACUGGUCCUCCUGCCUUGAGCUCCCCAAGUGCUGGGAUCACAGGUGUGAGCCACCUUGCAUGGCAGUAGCUGGGAUUAUAGGCACACAUCGGCUGAUUUUUGUUGUUAUUUCUAUCAGUCUUUCUUUGCUUAUUAACAUUCUCCUGCAGAGCAUUUUCUUUCUUUCUUUUUUUUUUUUUUUUUUUGAGAGAGUUUCGCUCUUGUUGCCCAGUCUGGAGUGCAAUGGCGCGAUCUUGUCUCACCGUAACCUCUGCCUCCGGGGUUCAAGCAAUUGUCCUGCCUCAGCCUUCCAAGUAGCUGGGAUUACAGGCGUGCACCACCAUGCCUGGCUAAUUAUUAUAUUUUUGGUAGAGAUGGCGUUUCACCAUAUUGGCCAGACUGGUCUCAAUCUUCUGACCGCAGGUGAUCCACCUACACCUGGCCUAACUUUUUAGGAACUGCUAAAGUGUUUUCCAAAUGCCUGUACUAUACCAUUUUGCAUUUCUACCAGUAAUAUAUGACAGUUUCACUUGCUUGUUGAUGUUUUUAUUUUGUUUUGUUUUAGAAUUGUCAAGGAAGCACUGUACUGGGUGAAACGGAUUUUGGUUAUCUCAUUUCUGUAAUGAAAGGCAUAAUCUGUUACCUGUUUUAGAAUGUAGGGUCCCUUGCUAGUUAUCUUCUGUUGGGGCUAGUGCAGUUCUUACUUACACAUCAUUUGCAGAAAUAACAGUAACUACCAUUUGUGUAUCAGGACAAUUUUCACAUGUUUAAUUUUUGGAUUGGGAGCUGUGAGGGGACAUUCUCUUUUUCUUUUCUUUUUUUUUUUUUUUUUUGAGACGGAGUUUCGCUCUUGUUACCCAGGCUGGAGUGCAAUGGCGCGAUCUUGGCUCACUGCAACCUCCGCCUCCUGGGUUCAGGCAAUUCUCCUGCCUCAGCCUCCUGGGUAGCUGGGAUUACAGGCACGCGCCACCAUGCCCAGCUGAUUUUUUGUAUCUUUAGUAGAGACAGGGUUUCACCAUUUUGACCAGGAUGGUCUCAAUCUCUUGACCUCGUGAUCCACCCGCCUCGGCCUCCCAAAAUGCUGGGGUUACAGGCUUGAGCCACCGCGCCCGGCCCAUUCUGUCUCUUUUUUAAGUAGAGGUGUAAGAGGAAGAUAUGGCUAGGCGAGGUGGCUCAUGCCUGUAAUCCCACCACUUUGGGAGGCCAAGACAGGUGGAUCACCUGAGGUCGGGAGUUCGAAACCAGCCUGACCAAUAUAAAAUCCAUCUCUACUAAAAAUACAAAAAUUAGCUGGGCAUGGUGGUGGGUGCCUGUAGUCCCAACUACUCGAGAGGCUGAGACAGGAGAAUUGAUUGAACCCAAGAGGCGGAGAUUGCAGGGAGUCAAGAUUGUACCACUACACUCCAGCCUGGGUGACAGCGAGACUUUAUCUCAAAAAAAAACGAAGAUAUAGAUGUUACCCCAGUCCUUUCUUUUACCUCCAGUUUAUGAGCAGGGCAGUCUUGAGCAACUGAUAUUUGGAUUUUGAGGGUUAAUGUCGUCUUUUGUGAAAUGGGCCGCUAAAACUCCCCUGUCUACUCGAAAAGGAGAGAAUCAGUUGAGGCACUGUUAAAGGAUGUUUUGAACAUGAUAUGUUACCUCAUGAGUAAUUUUGUAGUACUCUCCAUUUGUAGUGGUUUCCAUAGUUGUUUAAGGGAACAAGUUUGCAGAAAAAAAUGGUUGUAUAGAAAUAGAAGGGGGCUGGGCACGGUGGCUUACACUUAUAAUUCCAACAUUUUUUUUUUUUUUUUUUUUUUUUGAGACAGUUUCGUUCUUGUUAGCCAGGCUGGAGUGCAAUGGUGCGAUCUGGGCUCACCGCAACCUCCACCUCCUGGGUUCAGGCAUUUCUUCUGCCUCAACCUCCUGAGUAGCUGGGAUUACAGGCACACACCACCAUGCCCAGCUAAUUUUUUGUAUUUUUAGUAGAGACAGGGUUUCACCACGUUGACCAGGAUGGUCUCGAUCUCUUGACCUCAUGAUCCCCCUUCCUCAGCCUCCCAAAGUUCUGGGAUUACAGGCGUGAGCCACCGCGCCCGGCCCAACACUUCUUUAGUAGAGAUGACGUUUCACCAUAUUGGCCAGACUGGUCUCCGUCUUCUGAUCUCAAGUGAUCCACCCACCUUGGCCUCCGAAAGUGCUGGGAUUACAGAUGUGAGCCACCACACCUGGCCUAUACUUAACUUUUUAGAAACUGCCAAAAUGUUUUCCAAAAUGCCUAUACCAAACCGUUUUACAUUUCCACCAAAAUGGGAGACAGAAUGAGACUCUCAAAAAAAAAAAAAACAAAAAAGAAAAGAGGCUGAAUGCAGUGGCUCACGACUGUAAUCUCAACACUUUGGGAGGCCAAGGCGGGUGGAUCAUGAGGUCAGGAGUUUGAGACCAUCCUGGCCAACAUGGUGAAAUCCCAUCUCUACUAAAAAUACAAAAAAAAAAAAAAAAAAAAAAAAGAAAGUUAGCUGGGCGUGGUGGUAUGCACCUGUAGUCCCACCUACUCAGGAGGCUAAGGCAGUAGAAUCGCUUGAACCCUGGAAGCGGAGGUUGCAGUGAGCUAAAAUCGUGCCACUGCACUCCACCCUGGGAGACAGAGCGAGACUCUGUCUCAAAAAGGAAAGAAAUAGAAGGGACUGGAUAUGGUGGCUGAAGCCCAUAAUCCCAGCAUUUUGAGAGGCCAAGCUGGGAAAAUUGAGUCCAGGAGUUUGAGAUCACACUGGGCAACAUAGUAAGACCCUGUCUCUACAAGAUAAUGAUGAUAAUAAUAGUAUAAAUUAAAACAAAAAAGAAUAGAAGCAAUUUAAUGCAGCAGCUGAAUAGCAAAAUGGCCAGUACUACUGCAGUACACAGGCUGGGCGCAGUGGCUCACACCUGUAAUUCCAGCACUUUGGGAGGCCGAGGCGGACAGAUAACAAGGUCGAGAGAUCAAGGCCAUCCUGACCAACAUGGUGAAACCCCAUCUCUACUAAAAUACAAAAUUUACCUGGGCGUGGUGGUGUGCGCCUGUAAUCCCAGCUACUCGGGAGGCUGAGGCAGGAGAAUGGCUUGAACCCAGGAGGUGGAGGUUGCAGUGAGCAAGAUCGAGCCACUGGACUCCAGCCUGAUGACAAAUCAAGACUGUCUCAAAAAAAAAAAAAAAAUACACACAGAGACACAGGAUCCCUCAUUUUUCAUAUUUUCUUUGUUUUAUAUGAGUAACACAUGAAUACAUUGAAAAAUUUAAGCAAUACAGAUAAAAAUCCCCUUUUUACACUAAGUAAAACCAUUCAUUAACAACUGUAUUGUGAGCUGUCAGAUGCAGGGAUUGCACUAAGUGCCAUAGGGUGGCCGGGGUAGCUAAGAUUCAGUCCCUGUCCUCAGUGAUUUUCCAGUUUGUUUUUCCUUCUGUGCCCUAACACUUUGUUGGUAGCUCUUGCAAUAAAAACUUUUUUUUGGCUGGGUGCGGUGGCUCAAGACUAAUCCCAGCACUUUGGGAGGCUGAGGCGGGUGGAUCACAAGGUCAAGAGAUCGAGACCAUCCUGAUCAACAUGGUGAAACCCCAUCUCUACAAAAUACAAAAAAUUAGCUGGGCAUGGUGGCGCCUGCCUGUAAUCUCAGCUACUCAGGAGGCUGAAGCAGGAGAAUUGCCUGAACCCAGGAGGUGGAGGUUGCGGUGAGCCGAGAUCAUGCCAUUCCACUCCAGCCUGGGUAACGAGCGAAACUCCAUCUCAAAAAAACAAAAAAGAAAAAAACAACAAACCUUUUUUUUUUUUUUUUUAAGGAUACCCUCCUUAGCAAUUUUGUCAAGAGAGUACCAAUAAAAACUUUUAAACAAAGGUGUUAAGUUUAGAUAGUGAUUAGCCAUCUUUUUCCCUUGUAAUUGCUGCCGUUGAGUGAGAGCUCUGUUGGGAAAUAGUGAAACAAGGAUUCUGGUUCAAUCAAUGGAGGCAGGGAAUUUUCAGGAAGGAGAUGGGAUGCCAUCCAUGCCUUAGAGCCACUGGGCACUUAGCUGCAGCUGUGGAUAUCAACACUUGGCUAGCUGAGUUUUCUUUAGGUCUGUAAAUAGUUCAUGCUAAUUUUGUGGAUGUUGGACUCUGAGGAAUGAUGUAGUCUGUGGGGAGAAUGUUACAGUCCAUAAAAACUGUAACUAGUAAGUAGCCAUUUGAAAUACUAAAAUCAAUUUCUGAUUAUGUGAAUGUCCCUUUUUUGUGUACUAUUUUAGCUUACUUGCCAGUUCAGUUUCUUGGUGUUACUCUGAUAGUUAAAUUCAAUAAGUCAUUUAUUUAAGGGCCUGAUAUUUGUAUUCUAUUAGAAGGACAAACAGCUAUUUAUACUAGAAGGUGGACUAUAAUGAAUUCUCAUUACAGUGACUAAAAGUUAUUGAUUUUCUAGGCUAUUCUUGAUUUCAGAUACUCAUUUACUUUGACAAACAUUUACUGAAUUUCUUGUAUCAGAUCCUGGGGGAUAUAAAGAGAGUUCUAAGGUCCUGGAGGAGCUUAUAUAGUACAGUAAGGGAGAUAGAUUGAUAGCUUCAGUACCAAAUGCUAAGCACUGUUAAUGGCACAUAACGUUCCACUAAGGAUGGACAUCUGACCUAAUGUGUAAGUGUGCAUGUGUGAGUGUGUUUCCGAAAAGUAUUUUCUUAGGGAAAAUACUUGUUUUGAGCCAGUUUUCUUAGGGAAAAUACUUGUUUUGAGCUAAUCUGUUUUACCUAAAAACUUAGUAAAAUAAUUUCUGGAUUAGCUAUGUAUUCACCUAAUUUAGCAUUUGAAAUGGACAAAAAAUAUUUAGUGAAGUUUCUCUCACCUCUGCUCCAGCUAGUCUUUUCCCCUUCCUGGAAGCAGCUAGCAUUACAGUUUCUUCUGGACCCUUUUGAUACAUGCCUGUAGGCCAUAUAAUGUCAGUACAUAAAGAACUUCCUCAUUUUGCAUUGUAUUUCAUUAUAUGAAUGCACCAUACUUUUUUCCCAGUGCUGGUGGACAUUUACCUUUCUCAACCCUUUACUUUUGCAACAGUGCUGCAUUACCUUGUAGAAAUUGUCUUUAAAAAAAAAAAAAAUUGUCUUUUCAUAGAUCUGUAGAAUAAAUUCCUAGAAGUAGAAUUGCUGGGGCAAGAGGUUUGCAUAUUUGUGUAAUUUUGGUAGAUAUUGCCAGAAUACCCUCUGGAGAGGUAUCAGCCAAGUGAAGAAUGGGUAGGAGAUAGGUGAAGUUGAGGCUGGGUCAGUUUAUGAGCGUAAGGGAGACUAAAAGUAGUUAUGUACUAUUGAGGUGUAACGUGCUAGGUAAAGGGUGUCAGGAGAUGGGAGUAGGCAGGGGCCACAUCCCUUUGCCUUGUGUUGUUUUUCUUUGUUUGUUUGACGGGGACUCGCUCUGUUGCCCAGCCUGGAGUACAGUGGCAUGAUCUUGGUUCAUCAUAACCUCUGUCUCCCUGGUUCAAGCUAUUCUCCUGCUUCAGCCCCCGCUGGGAGCUCGGAUUACAGAUGUGCACCACUACACCUGGCUAAUUUUUUGUAUUUUUUGGUAGAGACAGGGUUUUGCCAUUGCUCAAGCUGGGGUUGAACUCCUGGGCCGCCCACCUCGGCCUCCCAGAGUCCUGGGACUACAGGCAUGAGCCACUGUGCCCGGCCUGACUUGGUUUUUAUACUUGGAUUUUUUUUUUUUUUUUUUGAGACGGAGUUUUGCUCUUGUUACCCAGGCUGGAGUGCAAUGGCGCGAUCUCGGCUCACCGCAACCUCCGCCUCCUGGGUUCAGGCAAUUCUCCUGCCUCAGCCUCCUGGGUAGCUGGGAUUACAGGCACACGCCACCAUGCCCAGCUAAUUUUUUUUGUAUUUUUAGUAGAGAUGGGGUUUCACCAUGUUGAUCAGGAUGGUCUCGAUCUCUUGACCUCUUGAUCCACCCGCCUCAGCCUCCCGGAGUGCUGGGAUUACAGGCAUGAGCAACUGCGCCUGGCCUUUUUUUUUUUAAUUAACUUUUAAGUUCAGGGCUACAUGUGUGGAUUUGUUACAUAGGUAAACUUGUAUCACACAGGUUUGUUGUACAUAUUAUUUCCUUACCCAGGAAUUAGCCUAGUACCUGUUAGUUAUUUUUCCUCAUCCUCUUCCUCCUCCCACUCUCCACCUUCUAAUAGGUUCCAGGGUGUUUCGUUCCCCUCUUUUUUUUUUGGAGACAGAGUUUCUCUCUGUCACUAGACUGGAGUGCAGUGGCAUGAUCUUGGCUCACUGCAAUGGCAUCCUCCCUGGUUCAGGCGAUUCUCAUACCUCAGCCUCCUAAGUAGCUGGGAGUAGAGAUGUGUGCCACCACGCCCAGCUAACUUUUGUAUUUUUAGUAGAGAUGGCGUCUCUUGACCUCGUCAUCUGCGUGCCCUGACCUCCCAAAGUGCUUGGGAUUACAGGUGUGAGCCACCUGCCUGGCCCUGUUCUCCCUUACAUGUCUAUGUGUUCUCAUCAUUUAGCUCCUAGUUGUAAGUGAAAACAUGUGGUAUUUGUUUUUCUGUUCCUGUGUUUGCUGAGGAUAACAGUGUUCAGCUCCAUCCGUGUUGCUGCAAAAGACAUGGUCUUGUUCAUUUUUAUGGCUGCAUUUAUAAGACGAGGGAUUUAUUUAUUUAUUUAUUUAUUUUUUGAGACGAAGUCUUGCUCUGUCACCUAGGCUGAAGUGCAAUGUUGAGAUCUCAGCUCACUGCAAUCUCUGCCUCCUGGGUUCAAGCAAUUCUCCUGCCUCAGCCUCCCAAGUAGAUGGGGUUACAGAUACCUCUACCACCAUGCCUGGCUAAUUUUUUGUAUUUUUAGUAGAAACAGGGUUUCAUUCACCAUGUUGGCCAGGCUGGUCUCAAACUCCAGACCUCAGGUGGUCCACCUGUCUCAGCCACCCCAAAGUGCUAGGAUUAUAGGCGUGAGCCAUUGCACCUGGCCAAGGGGUUUAUUUAAACUUCUGCUAUCAGAAGUAGGAAAUUGGGAUCCCAUUAGGGAUUAACUAAUUGGUUUGACUUCAGAUUUUUAGCUUGAAGUCUGCUGAAGAGUUAAUUCAUUGAGAGUCUGGCCAUGUGGGGAGCACAAACUUACUUGUUUUAGGGAAAGGAUCUCUUUGUACAUUUUUCAUUGGCCGGAUCAGUCAUUUCAUGUGAACCCUUUUCAUGAUUAUAGGGAAAGCAGGCAGAUAAUUCAUACCAAUUAAAUAUUAGAACAUGUCAGACCUGACAUGGUGUCACCUGUCUCAUGCCUGUAAUCCCAGCACUUUGGGAGGCCUCAGGAUGGAUCACUGGAGGUCAGGAGUUCGAGACCAGCCUGGCCACAUGGUGAAACUCUUUUGCUACAAAAAAGACAAAAAUUAGCUGGGUGUGGUGGCGUGUGCCUGUAGUCUCAGCUACUUGGGAGGCUGACGUAGGAGAAUCUCCUGAACCUAGGAGGUGCAGGUUGCAGUGAGCCAAGAUGAAACUACUGCACUCCAGCCUGGAAGACAAAGUGAGACUCCCUCUCAAAUUAAAAAAAAAAAAAAGGGCCGGGUACGGUGGCUCACGCCUGUAAUCCCAGCACUUUGGGAGGCCAAGGCGGGUGGAUCAUGGGGUCAAGAGAUCGAGACCAUCCUGGUCGACAAGGUGAAACCCUGUCUCUACUAAAAAAUAUCAAAAGUAGCUGGGCAUGGUGGUGCACAUCUGUAGUCCCAGCUACUUGGGAGGCUGAGGCAGGAGAAUUGCUUGAACCCAGGAGGUGGAGGUUGCGGUGAUCCGAGAUCGUGCCAUUGCACUCCAGUCUGGGUAACAACAAUGAAACUCCGUCUCCAAAAAAAAAAAGAACAUGAUAGACUGAUUCAGAUCCCAAGAUGAAGGGGGAAACCAAGGCUUCAGAUUUUAUUAAGCUUACCCUAAAUAGUGAUGUUUUUAAAAGGAAACCUUUGGGGAAAUAUCUGUCAGUAACAGAUGUCUAAAUUUUUCCUUAUUUAAAAAGGUCCUGGCUGAGCAUGGUGGCUCACACCUGUAAUCUCAGCACUUUGGGAGGCCAAGGUGAGUGGAGCAUUUAAGGUCAGGAGUUUGCAACCAGCCUGGCUAACAUGGUAAAAUCCUGUCUCUACUAGAAAUACAGAAUUAGCCAGGCAUGUAAUCCUAAAAUUGGCAGGUGCCUGUAAUCCCAGCUAAUCGGGAGGCUGAGGCAGGAGAAUCGCUUGAAUCUGGGCGGCGGAGGUUACAGUGAGCUGAGACCACACUAUUGCACUUCAGCCUGGGCAACAAGAAUAAAACUCGACCUCAAAAAAUAUAAAUAAAUAAAUAAUAAAAAGGAGGUCUUUAUAUUUAGGUAGACAGUAUGGCUUAGUGCAAAAGGAGUUUUGGGUUGGUGUUUUUCAACACUUGGAAUCUGUUUAUCAGUGACUGAAGUUUUGUCUAUAGUCAAUUACUUAAUCUUGAAUUCACUAAAAGCAAUUUUUGCUUAUGGCUAAAAAUGCAAGCAUGUUUAUAAAACAAAACAUUACCUAUAGUAGCUUUUUGGAAGAUAGCCUUUUUUCUGUUAUUUUUCUCUUUACAUAAACUUUUUUGUUUUGAGACAGAAUUUGACUUUAUCACCCAGGCUGGAGUGCAGUGGUGCGAUCUCAGCUCACUGCAAACUCAGCCUCCCAGGUUCAAGGGAUUCUCUUGCUCCAGCCUCUUGAGUAGCUGGGAUUACAGGUGCCUACCACCAUGCUCAGCUUAUUUUUGUAUUUUUGGGGUUUCACCAUGUUGGGCUGGUCACAAACUCCUGUCCUCAAGUGAUCCACUGGCAUUGGCCUUCCAAAGUGCUGGAAUUACACGUGUGAGCCAUCAUGCCCGCCAUAAACUUUUUAUUAAACAGAUAAAAUACAUAAAUCAUAAAUGUACAGCCCAGUGAAUUUUCACAGAGUGAUCAUAUCUGUGUAGCUACUAUGUAGAUCAAGAUAGAAAACAUUAGUGCAUGGUGGCGCAUGCCUAUAGUCCCAGCCACUCAGGAGGCUGAGGCCACUUGAGGAUCACUUGAUCCCAGGAGUUGUGAGGUUGCAGUGAGCUGUGAUCAUGCGUGCCACUGCCCUCCAGCCUGGGCUGCAGAGCAAGACCCUGUCUCAAGAAAAAAAAGAAGGCUGUGAGUGGUAGGUCACGCCUAUAAGCUCAGCACUUUGGAAGGCCGAGAUGGAGGUUGCAGUGAGCAGAGAAAAUGCCAUUGAACUCCAGCCUGGGCAACAGAGGGAGACUCUAUCUCAAAAAAAAAAAAGUUAGCUGGGGGUCGUGGCACACACCUGUAGUCCCAGCUACUCAGGAGACUGAGGCAGGAAAACACUUGAACCCAGGAGGUUGAAGUUGCAGUGAGCCGAGAUCUUGCCACUGCACUCCAGCCUGGUGACAGAGCAAGACUCUGUCUCAAAAAAAAAAAAAAAUAAAAAAAAAAAUAUCCAAGUGCGGUGGUGUGCACCUGUAAUCCCAGGCUUCUCGAGAGGCUGAGGCAGGAGAACCGCUUGGACCUGGGAGGUGGAUGUUGCAGUGAGCCAAGAUCGUGCCACUGCACUCCAGCCUGGGUGACAGCAAGACUCCCACUCAAAAAAAAAAAAAAAACAAAGAAAGAAAAAGAAAAAUAUUAACAGCAAGCACUUCAGAACCCCACCUCCUUACUUGCCAGUCAGUCUCCCUCCUUCUCCCAGGGGUAACCACUAUCCUGACUUCUUUUUUUUUUUUUUUUUGAGACGGAGUUUCGCUCUUGUUACCCAGGCUGGAGUGCAAUGGCGCAAUCUCGGCUCACCGCAACCUCCGCCUCCUGGGUUCAGGCAAUUCUCCUGCUGCAGCCUCCCGAGUAGCUGGAAUUACAGGCACGCGCCACCAUGCCCAGCUAAUUUUUUGUAUUUUUAGUAGAGACGGGGUUUCACCAUGUUGACCAGAAUGGUCUCGAUCUCUCGACCUCGUGAUCCACCCAUCUCGGCCUCCCAAAGUGCUGGGAUUACAGGCUUGAGCCACCACGCCCGGCCGCACUAUCCUGACUUAUGUUGCCAUUCAUUAGUUUUGCUUUUUGCUGUUUGAACUUUAUAUAAAGAGUCAUAUAAUGUGUAUUCUUCCAUAUCUGGCUUCUUUUGCUCAACAGUAAUGAUACAUGUUUUUGUAUUUAGCAAUAACAGGCCAUUUUCACUGCUGUACAGAGUUUGGCCACAAAAAUAUACCACAAUUGGUCCAUUCUAUUGUUGAUGGAUAUUCUGAUUGUUUCUAGUUUUUGACUAAUAGGAAUAAUGCUGCAAGUAAUAUUCUUCUUUGUAUUUGGGUGUGUGUAUGUAUGUCUUUUUGUGGGUGUAUGCUUAGGAUUGGAGGGACAUUCACUAUAGUAUGGAUAUGUUCAGCUUUAGUAGAUGCAGCUGUUGUCAAAAAGUUUUCCAGAGUUGUUUUAUCAGUCAGUGCUUGCAUCAGUAGUCUGUGAGAGUUCCAUUCAUUACACAUCCUCUCCAGACUGACAACUUCUUGUUGUUAGUAUUUAACCUUUUUGCGGAGGCUCUGCUUUGUGAGAUAGGUAUAGGGGAUACAGUCACAAAAUAGUGCUGCUUUCAUAGACAUUGAAUUUUAAUGUGAUUAAAAAUGAAUGUUUUACCUGUUUAAUAUAUUCAGGUAUUGAUAAAUACUAAGGAAGUAUUUUGGAUAAAGAGAAGAGGGUGAUGGGGAAAUGCUGUGUUGUUGUUGUUCGGAUAAUGAGAAGAGGGUGACGGGGAAAUGCUGUUUUGUUGCUGCUGCUGCUCCUGUUUUAGGGGUCUGUUGCUUAGGCUGCUGCAAUUUUGGCUCACUGCAGCCUCUGCCUCCUGGGUUCCAGCAAUUCUCCCGCCUCAGCCUCUCCCAAGUAGCUGGGAUUACAGGCACACCAGCCAGCACACCCAGCUACUUUUUUGGGUAUUUUUAGUAGAGACAGGGUUUCACCAUAUUGGUCAGACGGGUCUCAAAUUCCUCCCAAAGUGCUGGAUACAGUCGUGAGCCACUGUACCUGGCCUGUUGUUGUUGAGACGCAGUAUAACUCUGUCUCCCAGGCUACAGUACAGUUGCCCGAUCUUGGCUCACUGCAACCUCCACCUCUUGGGUUCAAGCAGUUCUCCUGCCUCUGCCUUCCCAGUAGCUGGGAUUACAGGUGUGUGCCACCACACCGAGCUAAUUUUGGUAAUUUUAGUAGAGAUGGGGUUUUGCCAUGUUGGCCAGGUGGGUCUUGAACCCCUUAUCUCAGGUAAUCCCCUUACCUCUGCCUCCCGAAGUGCUGAGAUUACAGGCAUGAGCCACAGUGCCCAUGCCUUGUUUUUUUUUUUUUAAUUUUUAAAAUUUGUUUUUAUUUUUGAGACUGUCUCACUUUGUUGUCCAGAUUGGAGUACAGUGGCGUGAUCAGAGCUUACUACAGCUUCGAGGAUCAAGUGCUUCUCCUACUAUGUACUCCCUCUCUCCCAGUAGCUAGGAUUACAGGCAUGUGUUACCUUGCCUGGCUGAAACUUUUAUUUUUAUUUUGUAGAGACAGGGGUCUCACAAAGUUGCACGGGCUUGUCUUGAACUCCUAGCUUCAAGCAGUCCCCCUGCCUAAGUGCUGGGAUUAUGGGUAUGAGCCACUGCACCUGGCCAGGAAUGCUAUUAGAUACAUUCUUUUCAAGUGACAUUUGAGCAGUGAUCUGAAGAAAGUAAGCUAGCCAGGUUCACAUCUGGAGCGGAGCAGUCCAGGCAAAGGGAAUAGCAGGUAUCAAUGCCCUGAGGCAGGAACAUGCUUGAUAUGUUUGCAGAGCAUCAAGGAAGCUGGAGCAGGGGAUAGAACUAGAAGCUGAUGUCAGGGAGGUAGGUGGGGGCCAGAGCGCACAGAGCAUUAGGGAUCAUGGUAAGGAUUUUGGAUUUUCUGAAUGAGAUCAGAGUUUUGAGCAGUAAAGUGACAUCCCCUUUACCUUUUAAAGAGAUUGCUUUUAUUAUUUAUUUAUUUAUUAUUUUUUAAGACAGGUCUUGCUCUGUUGCCCAGGCUGGAGUAGUACAGUGGUGGGAUCUUAGCUCACUGCAACUUCUGCCUCCCAGGAGAAUAGCUUGAACUUGGGAGGUGAAGAUUGCAGUGAGCCAAGAUCAUGCAAUUGUACUCCGGCCUGGGCAGCAGAAUGAGUAUCUGUCUUAAAAAAAAAAAAAAAGUUAUAAGCCAAGAGAAGGAGGUUGAUGGUGUGGACUAGACUGUUAAUGGAUGGUAGGGAGAAAUAGUUGGAUUCAGAAUAUUUUUAAGGUAGAAGCAAUAUGAUUUGACAGUGGAUUGAGUAUAGAGGAGCUGGGGUGGGUGUAGGGGAGGCAGUCAAGGAUGACCUUAAGAUUAUUGGGUUAGGUUAUUUAUUAAGUUUUGGGAAGAUUAGGGUAGAGGUGGGUAGGAGCCCCGGGUAGUUUUGGGAUAGGGUGAAGAAUCAAGAAUUGAUAAAGGGGUCAGGCGCUGUGGCUCAUAUCUGUAAUCCUAGCACUUUGGGAGGCUGAGUCAGGCGGAUCACCUGAGGUCAGUAGUUCAAGACCAGUCUGGCCAACAUGGUGAAAUCCCAUCUUACAAAAAAUACAAAAAUUAGCCAGGCAUGGUGGUGCAGUCCUGUAGUCCCAGCUACUCCGGAGGCUGAGACAGAAGAAUCACUUGAACCCAGGAGGUGGGGCUUGCAAUUGGGGGAGAUCAUGCCUCUGCACACCAGCCUGGGUGACGGAAACCAUGUGUCUUUGGCCUAAUAGUGAUAUCCUCCUGAAUGAAGGAUAAUGUUAUUUAUGCUGUAAUAAUUUAUCUAUUACUUAUUCUGUAGUGUUCUGCAUUGAAACUAUAAUUUUUUAUUUUUUAUUUAUUUACUUUUUUUGAGUCUCACUCCAGCCCAGGCUGGAGUGCAGUGGUAUGAUCCUAGCUGACUGCAACCUCCACCUCUCGAGUUCAAGCAAUUCUCCUGCCUCUGCCUCCUGAGUAGCUGGGAUUACAGGCACGUGCUCCCACACCUGGCUAAUUUGUUUUUUGUUUGUUUGUUUGAGACGGAGUCUCUCUGUCGCCCAGGCUGGAGUGCAGUGGUGCAAUCUUGGCUAAUCUCGGCCUCCGCCUCCCAGGUUCAAGCGAUUCUCCUGCCUCAGCAUCCUGAGUAGCUGGGACUAUAGGCACAUGCUACUGCGCCCAGCUAAUUUUUGUAUUUUUAGUAGAGACAGGGUUUCACCAUGUUGGCCAGGAUGGUCUCUAUCUCCUGACCUUGUGAUCCGCCCACCUCAGUCUCCCAAAGUGCUGGGAUUACAGGCAUGAGCCACCUCCUCGCCUGGCUUUAGUUUUUUGUUUUUGUAUUUUGAGAUGGAGUCUCACUUUGUUGCUCAGGCUGGAGCACAGUGGCGUGCCCUCAGCUCACUGUAACCUCCACCUUUUAGGUUCUUCUCAGCCUCCUAAGUAGCUGGAAUUACAGGCACAUGCCUCUAUGCCCAGCUAACUUUUGUAUUUUUAUUAAAGAUGGAGUUUCAUCAUGUUGGCCAGGCUGGUCUCAAACUCCUGAUCUCAGGUGAUCUGCCUGCCUUGGCCUCCCAAAUUGCUAGGAUUAUAAGUGUGAGCCAGCUUGCCCAUCUGACUCUGUAAUUUUUAAAUUGUUUUUCAUUUUUUGAAUUUAUUCUUAUAUUUUCGAGGCUUGCUCUCUCUCCCAGGCUGGAGUGCAGUGGCAUGAUCAGCCUCCUGUCCCAGCCUCCUGAGUAGCUGGGACUACACAUGAGCUAUGGGCUAACAUUUUUUAUGUUUUGUAGAGAUGCAGUCUUGCUGUUUUGCCCAGGAUGGUCUCAAAGUAACCUCCUGCUUUGUCCUCCUAAAGGACUGGGAUUAUAGUCAUGAGCCAUCUCGACACUAGUUUUUGCAAGAUAUUUUAGAAAAGUAAUUAUAUAGGCUGGGCAUGGUGGCUAACGCCUGUAACCCAAGCACUUUGGAGGCCAAGGCAGGUGGAUCACCUGAGGUCAGGAGUUCAAGACCAGCUGACCAACAUGGUGAAACCCUGUCUCAAAAAAAAAAAAAAAAAAAAAAAGGAAAAGUAAUUAUAUAUACAUAUUUUUUUUUUAGACAGAGUUUCGCUCUUGUUGCCCAGGUUGGAGUGUAAUGACGCGAUCUCAGCUCACUGCAACGUCUGCCUUCCGUGUUUAAGCAAUUCUCCUGCCUUAGCUUCCCAAAUAGCUGGGAUUACAGGUGGCUUCCCAAAUAGCCAUGACACCAGCCUAAUUUUGUAUUUUUAGUAGGACAGGGUUUCACCAUGCUUAUCAGGGUGCUCUGGAACUUGAGGUCUCUGACUCAUCUGCCUCAGCCUCCCAAAACAGUGGGAUUACAGGCGUGAGCCCCCACACCUGGCCAGGUCAUUCUUAAAAAUACCUAGCAAAUAGAGUAAAAGGUAAAAAUUCUCUUUCACCUCAUCGCUGAAAGUUUGUGUAUAUUUUUAGGCUUUUCAGUAAACAUUUAUAUAUACCUAUAGUACUCAGAUGCAUAGUAUUUUUCAUAAAUGGAACAAUAUUGUACAUAAUACUUUGCAGUUUUUAUAAUUUCCAAUCAGAUGGGAAUCUCACAAAACUAUUCUAGAGGAUCUUUGCUUUAAACAAUAGUAAAGACAUUAUUUAUCUCUUCUGUUGUUUUAAGUGCCUUGAAACAGAUUUUAUGAACCACAGCAACAUUCAGUAUUGAUUUGCUCAAUGUUAAUAUUGAGAGGCCUUCAGUUGUGAGAUCACACCUUUCAGAGAACUUCCUUUUUUUGGAGACAGAGUUUUGCUGUUGUUACCCAGGUUGGAGUGCAAUGGCUUGAUCUCAGCUCACCGCAACGUCCGCCUCCUGGGUUCAAGCCAUUCACCUGCCUCAGCCUCCUGAGUAGCUGGGAUUACAGUCACGCGCCACCAUGCCCAGCUAAUUUUUUUUUGUAUUUUUAGUAGAGAAGGGGUUUCACCAUGUUGACCAGGAUGGUCUCAAUCUCUUGACCUCAUGAUCACCCGCCUCGGCCUCCCCAAGUGCUGGGAUUACAAGCAUGAGCCACCACGCCUGGCCAAUUUUUGUAUUUUUAGUAAAGAUGGGGUUUCACCAUGUUGACCAGGAUGGUCUCGCCUCGGCCUCCCAAAGUGCUGGGAUUAUAGGCGUGAGCCACCGCACCCGGCCUGAGUCCUUUCUGUUGUUCAUGACAUACAGGAAGUAAAGAUUCCAGGUAGAUCCAGCUCUCGAGGCCUAAAUCCAUAGAAGCCUUGCCGUUUUUCAGCUCAUCACUUCCAUCAAGGUAUUUUGGUGAUUAUUUCUGUUAUUGUAAACGAAUUCAUAAGACAGAGUUGUACAUUUUGCCUUUUUUUUUUUUUUUUUUAAGACAGCUUUUCUGUUGUCCAGGCUGACGUGCAGUUGCAUGAUCCUGGCUCACUUCAACCUCCGGCUUCUGGGCUCAAGUGAUUCUCAAGUAGCUGGGAAUAUAGGUGCGUGCCACUAUGCCCAGCUAGUUUUUGUAUUUUUAGUAGAUAAGAGGUUUCCCCAUGUUGGCUAGGUUGCUACAUUUUGCUUUUAAUGUCUUACUGUUAAUGAUCCAUGCACAAAAUUCUUAUGCUAUUAGUAUUUUUCUCAGAAUGUCAACAGAAUUGAAAUGCCAGUGUGGGAUGAAAUUGAAUACUGUCAAAAGGCCUGCUCUGAGCCAAUCUCUGGACUAGGUCGACAUGUUGGGGAGAUAAUGAAGUAGGCUCUUGUUGGGAGACAGAACAGACCAAACAAAAUGAAUUUGUCUAUGACUCAGUUUUUAAGUAAUGAAGGUGAACUCAACUGAUAAGUAUAGGUUUAUAUUAAAUAAUGAUUAAGGAAGAAAAACUAACAUUUGUCUCUGUUUCUGUGGGUUUUGCAUCCAUGAAUUUAGCUAACCAUGGAUUGAAAAUAUUCAGGAAAAAAUAUAUAUAGAUCGUGGCCAGGCACUGUGGUUCGUGCUUGUAAUCCCAGUACUUUGGGAGGUUGAGGAGGGUGGAUCACUUGAGUGAGACCAGGAGGUGGAGACCAGCCUGGCCAAUGUCACGAAACCCUUUCUCUACUAAAAAUACAGAAAAUUAGCAGGUCAUUGUGGCAUGUGCCUGUGGUUCCAGCUACUCGGGAGGCUGAGGUGGGAGGAUCACUGGAGCAGUGGAGGCAGAGGUUGCAGUGAGCCGAGAUAGUGAUUUUGCAUUCCAGCCCGGGCAACAGAGCAAGACCCUGUCUCAAAAAAAAAAAAAAAAAAAAAAAGAUGGUUGUGUCUAUAUGGGCAGACGUUUUUUCAUGUCAUUAUUCCCUAUGGUAUACAGUCUGUUAGGAAUUACAAGUAA